Molecule: ribosomal RNA, 497 nt
Filed under: uncultured bacterium
Lineage: Bacteria
Description: partial 16S ribosomal RNA
Rfam family: Bacterial small subunit ribosomal RNA
Source: RNAcentral
GAUGAACGCUGGCGGCGUGCCUAAUACAUGCAAGUCGAACGAACAGACGAGGAUCUUGCUCCGCUGACGAUAGCCGCGGGCGGGUGAAUAACACGUGUAUAACCUACCUAUAAGACUGGUAUAACUUCGGGAAACCGGAGCUAAUACCGGAGAAUAUCUUGAACCGCGGUGGUCAAUAGUGAAAGACGGUUUUGCUGGCACUUAUAGAUGGAUCCGCGCCGUAUUAGCUAGUUGGUAAGGUAACGGCUUACCAAGGCUACGAUGCGUAACCGACCUGAUAGGGUGAUAGGCCACACUGGAACUUGGACACGGUCCAUACUCCUACGAGACGGCGCAGUCGGGAAUCUUACGCAGUGGGCGAGAGUCUGACGGAGCGAGGCCGCGUGAGUUACGAAGGGCCUGGGAUCGUAAAGCUGUGUUAUUAGGGAAGAACCAAUUUGUACGUAAAUAUGCACGGCUUGACGGUACCUAGUCAAAAAGCAACGGCUAACUACGUG